RNAcentral lists this long non-coding RNA (22335 nucleotides) under Capsicum annuum. RNAcentral's name for it is "long non-coding RNA (CANN_LNC005720)". Lineage: Eukaryota; Viridiplantae; Streptophyta; Magnoliopsida; Solanales; Solanaceae. The record is from RNAcentral.
AAAACCCGAAUUUGGGAUUUCUAUUUCUCCUUUAAGCUCAUUUUCAGUAUAAAAACAUAUUAGGAGGAUAAAUGUAGUAAUGUGGAUGCUUGAACGUUGGAGUAUGUUUGUUAAAAUUAGUCUAAUUUUCUUAUCACUACAUUGUGUAUGGGCUAAGGAUUCCCAAGGAUCUUUCUUGGUCAAUAAUACUAAGAAAGUAGGGAUGAAGUCGUAACCGUUUCCUUCCCAAAGGAUAAAGUUGUACCCAUUUCAUUCUCAAAAUAGGAUUAGGGAUGGAACAACGCGAUGACACAUCAUGAUCGAUUAUUUCCAUCCUCAAAUACCUACUGACAAAGCUUAAUAUUGCAGAUUAUUUUCCAAAUUUAAAUAUCGUGUGUCUCAUGGUCGAGCACGAUUGAUGUGUUAUAAUUGUCAGGGGUGUUGUCCUGUACUGUUGAAACUGGUAGCCUUAUAAUUAUUGCUACGACUCAUAAGUUGAACUUUAGACAACUCACUUGUCCUAGGUGCUACUAUUGUUUUCUUUAGGCUUCAGCUUCUUAAUAUUUGCUUCCNNNNNNNNNNNNNNNNNNNNNNNNNNNNNNNNNNNNNNNNNNNNNNNNNNNNNNNNNNNNNNNNNNNNNNNNNNNNNNNNNNNNNNNNNNNNNNNNNNNNNNNNNNNNNNNUAUUUGGUAUCAACACGUCAUUUACUUUUAAAUACAAAUAAGGUUUACACUAAGACAUCAUUUACCCCAAUACGCUGUUUGAUUAUUUGAAUGUGCCCUCGUUCCUUAUUAUUAGCCUUUUAUACAUUUUUUUAACAAGCAUGAGUUAAUCCACUCUAUGUUUUCUUUCCCUCAGAUGAUCGUGUGUUAUGUAUCUUAUUUCCUUGAUUUGAUUUUUGUGUUUACCCCUUUAAUUUUUCUUCCUUUCUUUCUCGGUUGAUCAUGCAUUAAUUUUUUUUUGUUUAUUCUUGCUUUGCAUGUGAACUCGUUGGAGUCCAAACGAACCCUUUGCAUUCCUCAAUGGGCCAAUAAGGCCCAUCCGUUGAGUCAAACCCGGAAAAGAGUCUAAGGUUACAUAAUGCGGAUAAAGGAGGCGAAAGAAUAAGGAAUGGAUUAAACCCCAUUACUUGAAACCGAAAAGAGAUUAAAAUCUCUUUUAUUUGUUUAUUUACUCAUUUCAUUGUCCUUAUCUUUUUAUUUGUUUGAUUAUUUAUCCAUUCAUUCAGGCCAAGAAGCCAAAGUUGUAUUUAAUACAGGUGGAGCAAGACUCGAGCCAAAGGCUCAAAAAUAUUUUAGGACAUGUGAAAUGGGUCGGAAGCCCAACUAAACUAAGCCAGGUCUCGUUGAUUUGGGCCCAAUGGCCUAAAUCCUUUACUUUCUCCCCCUUCCCAUUUUAUGUGUUUAUUUGUUUAUUAGUUUUGUUUAGACUUAGUUAAAAUCCUUACUAAGUCGCCUUAACCUAUUUUACACAAGUCUUUUAUUUUAAAUCAAAUCACUACUUCAACAGAUUAAUCUUUUCAGAAGUUAUUCAAAGACGUCUUCAAACAGUCCAGAUAACCGCAAGUUAGGGGACGUUUUAGGUGCCUAACACCUUCCUAAAAUGUUAAUAAGAACCGCUUACUCAGAAUCUCUUAACUUAAACGAUUUUUCUAUUUUUAAUCAUUUGAAGUAACUCUCUAAAAGUUUCUUAAUUCCUUUUUUCAAAAUUAAGUGGUGACUCUCUCAAAAAGUCAAAUUUUUCGUUAAAACAGAAAUGGAAACUCUGCUGGGAAAAUCUAAUUAGGUUCUAACCAAAUGUUUGAUUUUGUCUUUUGAUUAACUGUUUAUGUGUUCAUGUGUUUCGAUUCUGUAGAGUUUAAUUAUUGCAUCGCAUGGCAUAUUCCUACAUUAUUUAAACUGUUUUGGGGUUUCGUGGGUAUCCCGACCCCUAUUGAUCAAUUCCAAAAAUGUGUUAGAAAUANNNNNNNNNNNNNNNNNNNNNNNNNUCUGAUAGCUGUUUGUAUUUUCAAACUCAAGUUGUCCGCUUGAGAACCAUUGUUCAAACGCACUCUAGACAUCGAGGAUAGAACGAAAUCAAAACCCUAUUUUAGGCAUGAGCCUAGGACGAUCCAAUAAUCGAGCGGGGUAUUGGGCCCAUUAGAAAACUUACCCUACGUCUAUUGACCCUGAGUCAAUAACAGACGGAUCAUACUAUUGUGUUGGAGAAAUAUAUGUUUGUCUAAAUUCAAUCCAUUACCCUUCGGGGUUGGGGAAAGGCUUAUCUUUGUCUUCUUUUAUGUAGAUAUGGCUCAAUUUCAUUCCCGUGAAAAGUUCAAGAUGGUUACCAAAUUUGAUGAUUACCUGAAAUUGUGGUGGGAUUACAUGGGUCCAGAUGAGAGAAAAAUUGUUAGGACACAUAUCGGGCACCUUCGGUGAUUGAAAUAGACGCUUGACCUGAAAUGAUCCACGUGCUUACGACUUUUCGGGAUGAUCAGAAUAUGGUGUUUUGCUUCGGGGAUGUGGAAUUGACUCCUACCAUCGAAGAAGUGUUAAUUUGCUAUGAGAGUAUUGAAAAAUGUUUCAAGAGAAAGGAAAAUCCUGAUAAGAAUAUUUUAGUUCCUGCCGUGUGGGACCGUCAAACAAUCAAAGAGGCAUUUUUAACUGACGACGACACCUGGCUAGGGGAACGUAAUAGAGCAAGUAUCACUUUUCAGGAGUUGUAUCAUCGGUUUGGAAGAUUCAAUGCCUUCCACAAAUUUGGACAUAAAUUUGAGUCCGAAGCAAAAUGGAAGGAGAUGAGAGCCUUUGUGUUUGCGGUAGGUCUACUCAGAACCAUGGUGUUCCCACAGGGGGAAAAUGGCACAAUUCAUCCAAGGGUUGUUACGGUGGCUCAUGCACUUUUCUUCGGAGUAGAUUAUGAUUCCACCAAGGUAUUCCACAAUUUAGCUCCCAUGAUUGUUACCGACAUAUAUCGAUCCUUGGGAAGGUGUCAAGUCAAAAAUCGUUUCUUUCAAGGUUGCAACCUCAUAUUACAAUGGUGGAUGAUGAAGCAUUUGGUAAAGGAUUCAAGAAUGGUACAACCUGAUCAUAAAACAAGGGUGGAUAUGCUGGCUUCGCACGACAUGUGGUUGUUUCUACAUAAGUUCAAAAGGAAAGCAUCUUUCGAAUUUUGGUCUAAGACUUUCGGGGAAUUGAGAGAUGACGAUGUGCAAUGGUCCAUUAACUCUCUUCAUUCAGGGAAAUACUCUAUUCGAGGGGGCAAGUGGCCUUUUCUAGUUCUUUCCGGUCUCAGGGGGACCCGUCCCUACAAUCCUGGUAGAGUUCUUAGGCAAUUCGGGAUCAAACAGGAGGCACCACAAAUAGAUUCCAUGCUUAGGUUUUUCACCGAAUACGAUGAAAGUGAGUCUCCGCUCAAAGACGACAUGGUAAAUGGAUGGAGAAGAAGAAGGUGGAUGGAAGUGAAUUUUCGUAUAAAGCAUGACCCUGAAGUCAGUGACACUUACAAGGAAUGGUUGAAAAAGAGUCUCGCCGAAGCGUUGAUUUUGGGACCAAAUGUGCCCAUUCGGGUUGUGGAUGUAGAAUCCGAGCAUCAAAUUUGGCUCUACAGGCUAUAAGAUGAGUUCCAAAAAAGUGAAAUCGCACACCGGCAGAUACACAUGGAGGACGCUUUAACCAUACGUAUGUUGAGGGAAGAUAUGAAAAGAGCUAGGCAAGAAGCUGAUGAUGCCAGGCAAUGUCUAAUCGAUUUGGAUGAUAGCAUGGCCUCCUAACUUGAUAGUAUAUGGAAAAUGACUUACGACUGCAAGGUACAAUUAUGCGGGAGUCAUCUUAUCAUCAAUAGAUAUCAAAUAGAAUAGGAGGUAAACAAGACAAAGAAGGCAAAGGCAGACGAAGGAGCCUCAAGUAGCUAGUUUUUCUAUUUCCCCUGCGCGGAAACUUAUCUUCUUUCAUGUUAUUUCCCUUUUCCCCUAAAGAUUGUAUCCCUUUUUUGUUAUCUUUUGUAGGCAUUUAUGCCCUUUUUCGUGUCUAUAUAAGUUGGGGGUUAAUGGAUUGACUUCGAGGAAGGAUAUAUUUUCUUUAAAAAUCGUUAGGCCUGAAGCCUUGGCUCAAAAAGGGUCACCCCAGCUAGGAUACGUGUUAUUAUAAUGUUUUUGUGUGAUAUAACUAUUUUAUGUGCUUAUUUACGUGUGUUUGGAUCAAAGGCAAGUUCAUCCACUAUGUCCUAUGGAUGAAUUUGGCUAUGACUCAAGCAACUCUAUGUGGUUAUUUCCUGUCAAAUAUUUUGCAUUACUUAUCAUAUAUGGAAACUAACACAUCUGCCUUUGAGUUGGUUUACUUUACAUAUAAUAGAAAUUACUCUGUGUUGAUAUAAGCUGUCAGAACAUCCCUACUGCACCCGAUCGAAAACGCACAAAAUCUCAUCCUCUGACCAUCAUUCAAAAAUGACAGGAAAUAACGAAGAAAGCGCACUGACUAUCCGGGACAAUGUGAUAGCAGAACAGAAUGAAAUGAUUGCAGAACUUGCAGGAAAGUUAGAAAUGCUUCAGGAGGAAAUAAAUCGCACUCGAGAUUUGGCUAACUUGGCCAUCAACGUCAAUGCCCCCGCUACAGGAGGACACGGGACUCCACUACAAAUCCUUCCCCUCAGCACACCUAUUCUCAGGGAUCAACCAAAUAACAUAUCGCCAUCUCUGCCCCUCCACUUGUCCAAAUCACUAAUCGCAAAAAUAACCCAGAUACCUACCAUCCACAAAAUCCAUCUCUAACCUCACAAAAUCUAUCUCCGAAUCCAUUCUCAAAUCCCCAAAACACAUUUUCAAAUCAAGAAAAUUCAUUCCCAAAUCCACAAAAUUCACUCCCAAACCCGCAAAAUCCAUCAAAUCUAUCCCUAAAUCCACCAAAUUCCUUUCCAAAUCCGCAAAAUCCUUCUCAGAUUCCACCAAACUACUCACAAAUUCCACAGAACCUUUCCAAAUUCCAAAACAUCCUCCCCACUUACCAACCAAGUUCCUUUCUUCCGCAAAAUUAAGCCUCCCUUCCAAAUCCCCCUCAAGCUAUCAUAUUCCUUGGUAUUUAUGAACCCCUUCCUAACCCCGAGAUGGAUUAUUAUGAGGAGAAGGAGAAAGAGUAGAGGACCCAUCAUGAAAGAAAUUUACUAGCUGUGAAGGAAUAGAUCAUGAGGAUCAAAAGUCUCAUGGGGCCAGAGACCACGACGGUUUGGGGUAUGACGAUUUAUGUGUUCACCCUAGAGUAGACCUACCAGAUGGGUACAAAGUCCCUAAGUUUGAAAUGUUUGAUGGUACCGGAAAUCCAAUGGCCCAUCUGAGAAGGUACUAUGAGCAACUGGUAGGGAUAAGGAAAAAUGAGGCGUUAUUGAUGCACCUAUUUAGUCGAAGUUUGAGUGGCGAAGCCUUGGAGUGGUUCAUGUCUUAGGAGCUGAAAAAAUGGAUUGGUUGGAAAGCAUUGGCCAAGGGUUUCCUUGACCGAUUUUCAUUCAACAUUGAAAUAGUCCCUGACCGAUAUUCACUAGAUCAGAUCAAACAGAGGAAUGUUGAGAGUUUUGACACUAUGCUUUUCGUUGGAGGAAAAAAGCCGCCAAAAUGCAACCCCCCAUAUCCGAGGAGGAAAUGGUAUCCGCAUUCUCUAGUGCUCAAGAAGGAAAAUAUUAUACCAGGAUGGUGUCCGCUAUCAGGGCAACUUUUGUGGAUUUGGUAAAAAUAGGAGAAUCAUUGGAAGAAGGUAUUUGGACAGAGAAAAUUGCCAAAAUCCCGACGUCGUCUUGUACUGGCAUAUUCUUGAAAAAGAAAAAGAAAGAUGUAGGUGUGAUUUUUGCUAAUCCUGUUGCGAAAAUGAAAAAGAGGUUCAACUCUAGGAAUGUUUUCUCUUCUUCGCCGUCACCAACUUUCAACAUGUAUUCUAUGCCCACCCCCAAUACCAAGCUCCACAGCCAAAUACCUCACCUCAGUACCAAACUCCACUCCCAAAUAUCCAAUCCUCAUACCAAGCUCCAUAGCCAAAUAUCUUUCCCCAAUACCCAGCUCCAUCUCCAAAUUAUCAGUCUCAUUUCCAAUCCACUCCUCCAAAUAACCGAACAAAUUUCCAAGCACCUCCAAAUUAUCAUCAAGUACCUCCUCCAACAAAUCAAAGCCAGUACAACCCACAGCGGCCAAACAACAAAAAAAAACCUCCCUGAAACUUCACCCCGCUAGCUGAAAGUCGCACCCAAUUGUUUGAAAGAUUGAAGAAUGCUGGUCAUUUAUAACCAAUACAGCCAAGGCAUAUCAAUCCCAACUCUUGAUUUUUUAAUGCAAGUCAACAUUGUGCCUAUCAUUCAGGAGCAGCGGGGUAUAGUACAGAGGAUUGUGGCUACCUGAAACAUAAGAUCCAGGAUUUAAUCAAUCAGAAGGUCAUCACGCUCCAGGCACCUACACCAAAUAUUAAUAGUAAUUCAUUGCCCAACAAUGGGGGAUCUACAGUUAACAUAAUUGAAAUAUAGGGUGAAUGGGCAUCUUGCAAGACCAUUACCCAGGUGAACUAUGAAAAGCACAAAUGAGCAGAAGAGGUAGGAAAGAGAAGGCUGUAGAUGCCUUGAGUAUCAAUGAGAAAGCCUAAUUUAUAGUGAUGACUGCACUGACUCAAGUGUACGCUCCCCCGCCAAGGAAAGAAUUUAUUGUACAGACCGCUACUAACCAAGGGAUGACGCGGUCGGGACGAUGCUUUAUCCCUGAGGAAUUGACGAACAAAAAGGAUUCACAAAAAAGGCCAAUCACUGAAGGAGAGGUUAUGCAAUUUUGGAGGUGUAUGUAGCCAAAAGAUUACGCGAUUAUGAAACAUUUAGAGAAGACACCAGCCCAAAUCUCUAUUUUGGCACUAUUAAUGAGUUCGCGAUAUCACCUACAAGCUUUAUCGAAGGUCUUGGAUGAAGCGUAUGCUCCCAUAGGAACGAGUGUCGAGAACCUGGCUGCGAUAAUAGAAAACAUUAGGGGGAAUCAUCGCAUAUCAUCAGUGAUAAAGAAUUGCCGUUUGAAGGAGCGAUGCACAACAAAGCCUUGCAUGUCGCUGUCAUUUGCCGAGAUUAUGUGAUUAAUUAGGUAUUAAUAGAUGAUGGAUCUGGUGUGAAUAUUUCCCCCCUCUUUACAUUGGUUCAAAUGGGCUAUGAUAUGGGGAAAAUUCAUCAAAGCUACAUAAAUGUGAGAGCAUUCGAUGGAGGGCAGAGAGAUACCAUAGGAGAGAUUGAUUUGCACAUCUAAAUGGGGCCUGUUGAGUUCAAGACUAAGUUUCAUGUUGUAGAUAUCCAUCCUGGAUACAACCUGCUCUUUGGAAGACCAUGGAUACACAGUGCAAAAGCAGUUUCAUCAUCCCUUCAUCAAUUAUUGAAGUUUAUUUGGGAAGAUCAUGAAGUAGUCAUCCCAGGAGAAGAAAGUCGAGCGGACCAUCCCAAUGGUUAUGUGACGGUGAUUGAAGAUGUUCCAAAAGGUAGCAGUUUCUACACAGUGGAAAUUGUAAAUGCUGCAGACAGAGAUUCGACGCCCAAAGUACCAAUGCCUUCUGUCUACGAAAUGAUUGCAACAGUGAUGUUAAGAAAUAGGUUCAAACCUGGUCGAGGCUUGGGCAAGAAUUUACAAGGAAUUAUUGAGCCUAUUGCAAUCCCAGAGAGAGGAUUUAAGUACGGGUUAGGAUAUCAGCCUACCAGGAAGGAUAGGGUUGAGAAUGAGCUAGAGAAGAGUCUAUUUGGGCCCUUACCACUCCUGUUCCAGUCAUUUCCUGUUCGAUGGUCUUGGGGAUGGGAUAGAAGAUUUGUUCAAAGGAUGUAAUGCUGCACCAGAAGAUCUCCUAAAGUCCAGCGGGGUGAUGCAGAUUGCGCCAGGGGAGGCCUUGAAAAAUUGGACCUCCGCUACACUCAUAACUCAUCUCCCAUCGUGGUAGAUGAAAGGACAAUUACUGAUAGUUUUUAAAAUCGGUGAUGAUCUGGAGGAGGCCCCAUGAUCCACCUUUUAUAUCUCAAAACUUCUUUUUCAUAUCUUACUGCUUUCAAAAAGGCAUGGACUUGUAUUCGCGCAAGUCAUGAGCCACGAUUUUGUAAUUAUCUCCCAAAUUUCAAUGAAGAGGCCUUCAUUUAUUUAGAAACUUCUAUUAUUUCUAAAACACUCCUAGUCAUAUAGUUUGUUAUUAUCUUGUUAUCAUCUAACUUGGUUUGUUUGUCCAUUACAAUAACAACAGCUUAAAAUCUACCAGUGUCGUGUCAUGUCAAAGCUUAAAUGAACAAAAUGAGGGGAACAAUGAUGAUUGGAAGAACGAUGAUGAGGAACGACUAGUCGAAGAUAUAGAGGAAUUUUAGAAUCACGAAAAACCCAAUCUGAAGGAAACUGAAAUAGUCAACUUGGGAGAUCACAAUGAAAUCAAAGAGACAAGUGUCAGUAUCUACCUGGCGGCGCCACAAAGGAAAGAGCUCAUCCACCUAUUGUGGGAAUACAUCAAUGUGUUUGCUUGGUCCUAUGAUGAUAUGCCAGGGUUGAGCACCAGCCUUGUGUCACAUAAGUUGCCAAUAAAUCCGGAGUUUGAUCCAGUCAAGCAAAAACUACGGAAAUUCAAACCAGAUUUAAGUCUAAAGAUCAAGGAGGAAAUGAUAAAACAAAUCCAGUAUAAUGUUGUCGAGGUCGCAAAAUAUCCGACGUGGUUGGACAACAUCAUCCCUGUGCCGAAGAAGGACGACAAGAUUUGAAUUUGUUUUGACUAUAGAGACUUGAAUAGAGCAGUCCUAAAGAUAAUUUUCUGUUGCCCAACAUCCACAUUCUCAUCGAUAACUGUGCAAAACAUGAAAUGCAGUCAUUCCUUGAUUGUUUCGCCGAGUAUUAUCAUAUAUUGAUGGAUGAGGAAGAUUUAGAAAAAAUGGCUUUUGUUACACCCUAGGGUGUUUAUCAUUACAGGGUAAUGCCGUUUGGUCUGAAAAAUGCAGUGCAACAUAUAUGAGGGCUAUGGCGACGAUUUUUCAUGAUAUGAUCCAUAAAGAGAUUGAGGUCUACGUGGAUGACGUAAUUAUCAAAUCCCCCGAGAGUUUGGAUCAUCUGACUCAUCUGGAGAAAUUUUUCAACAGAUUAAGAAGGUACAGUUUGAAAUUAAACCCUGCUAAGUGUGCUUUUGGUGUGCCAUCUGGAAAGUUGCUGGGGUUCAUAGUCAGUAGAAGAGGCAUCGAGUUAGACCCAUCCAAAAUCAAGACAAUUCAGAAUUUGCCACCGCCAAAGACUAAGAAUGAAGUUAUGAGUUUCAUGGGUCAUUUGAAUUACAUUAGUACGUUCAUCGCACAAUCAACAGUUAUAUGCGAGCUAAUUCUCAAGAUGUUGAAGAAAAAUGCAUUGAACGAGUGGACAGAAGAAUGUCAGAGAGCUUUUAACUGCAUAAAGGAAUACUUGUCUGGACCGCGGGUUUUGGUUCUACCAAGAGAAGGAAUUCCAUUAUUAUUUACCUGUCAGUCUCAGAAAAUGCUUUCAGAUGUGUCCUCGGAUAACAUGAUAAUACCGGUAGGAGAGAGAAAGCCAUUUACUACUUGAGUAAAAAGUUCACGCCAUAUGAAGCCUGUUACACUCUUGUAGAAAGGAUAUGUUGUGCUUUGACUUGGACGACACAAAAGUUGAGGCAUUAUCUGUCGUCCUACACAACAUACCUCAUCUCGAGAAUGGAUCCAUUAAAGUAUAUUUUCCAAAAGUCCAUGCCUACGAAAAAGCUAGCAAGUGGAACAUGUUGCUGAGUGAGUUUGACAUUGUGUAUAUAACCCAAAAAAGCAAUCAAGGGGCAAGCCUAAGCAGAUUCUUUGACAGAGAACCCAGUUGAUGAGGAAUAUGAGACACUUCGAACUUACUUUCUAGAUGAAGAAGUUUUGUUCGUAGGAGAAGACAUUACAAAGAUUUACCCCGGAUAGAGGCUAUUUUUUGAUGGGGCGGUCAACUUCAAAGGUUCAGGAAUUGGAGCAGUUUUGGUGUCAAAAAUAGGCCAGCAUUAUUCGGUAACUGCUAAGUUACGUUUUCUAUGCACCAGUAACAUGGAUGAAUAUGAGGCUUGCAUUCUGGGUCUCAAAUUGGCACUUGAUAUGGGUGUUUGUGAAUUGUUAGUCAUUGGAUAUUCAGAUUUGCUGAUUCACCAGGUACGGGAAGAAUGGGCGGUAAAAAAUCCUAAGAUCACUCCUUAUGUGGAGAUGGUGCAAGAAUUAUGUGAAAGAUUCAAGGAAGUUGAUUUUAGGCAUAUCCCACGGAUACAAAAUGAGUUUGCUAAUGCUUUGGCUACUAUAUCUUCCAUGAUUCAGCACCCGUAUCAGAGUUACAUUGAUCCUUUGGAAAUAAGCUUGAAGGAGCAACCUGCGCAUUGUGUACACGUGGAAGAGGAGCCUGAUGGAAAGCCUUGGUACUAUGACAUUAAAAGGUAUUUGGAAUCUGGAAUAUAUCUUGUAGAUGCUAGUAACAACCAAAAGAAGACAAUCGGUGUUUGGCAAAGAAUUACUUUCCAAGUGGGGAAAUUCUUUUUAGGAGGACUCCUGAUUUGGGAUUCCUAAGAUGCGUCGAUGCUGUGGAAGCCAACAAAUUGAUAAAAGAGGUACACGCUGGAAUUUGUGGGCCCCACAUGAAUGGGUUUGUCCUUUCCAGAAAGAUCCUGAGAACCGAUUACUUCUGGAUGACUAUGGAAAAUGAUUGUAGUAAGUAUGUACAGAGAUGUCCAAAAUAUCAAAUACACGGAGAUCUGAUUCGAAUGCCUCCACACAAGCUUCACACAAUGAAUUUGCCUUGGCCUUUUGUAGCUUGGGGCAUGGAUGUCAUCGGACCAAUAGAGCCAUUAGCGUCGAAUGGGCAUAGAUUCAUUUUGGUUUCCAUUGAUUAUUUCACUAAGUGGGUUGAAGCGGCUUCGUACAGAGCCGUCAGUAAGAAAGUGGUUGCGGAUUUCAUCAGGAAUAACUUGAUUUUCCAGUUCAGAGUAUCGAAAUCGAUCAUUACUAAUAAUGGGGCAAACUUGAAUAGUCACUUGAUGAAAGAAAUUUGUGAUCAGUUCAAGAUUGUGCAUCACAACUCGACUGCAUAUCGCCCCCAAAUGAAUGGAGCUGUGGAAGCGGCCAUCAAGAAUAUCAAGAAGAUCUUGAGAAAGAUGGUCGAAAAUGAUAGAUCAUGGCAUGAUAUGUUACCUUACGCUUUACUGGGGUAUCGCACAACAGUUCGAACCUCCACCGGGCCGACCCCCUAUUUACUUGUCUAUAGGAAUGAAGCUGUGAUACCUGCUGAAGUUGAAAUACCUUCCCUAAGGAUUAUUUAGGAAGCUGGACUAAGUAACGAAAAAUGGGUUUGUGCUCGCUAAGAAUAACUCAUGUUGAUUGAUGAAAAGAGAAUGGUCGUUGUAUGCCAUGGUCAGUUAUACCAACACAGGAUGGUUCGUACCUUUAACAAGAAGGUGAGGGCUCGGGCAUUUGAAGUGGGGCAACUGGUUCUCAAAAGAAUAUUCCCUCACCAAGAGGAGUACAAGGUUCUAUCUGGAGGAGUACAAGUUCGCUCCAAACGGGCAAGGGCCAUACAUAGUUUGCAAGGUGCUAUCUGGAGGAGCUCUGAUUUUUUCUGAGAUGGAUGGCACGGAGUGGACCAAACCAAUCAAUUUCAACGCGGUAAAGAGAUAUUAUGUUUGAAAGACAUUCUAGCUUUUGUGUUUCUUUAGUUAAUUUACCUGUAAGUGCAUUUGUAAUAAUGUUGUUUUCUAUUAUGUGACUAUCUAGAGUCCCUUCCUCUUAUGUACGAACUACGUUUGACCAGAAUUCCCAAGAAAGGGAUACGUAGGCGGCCUAUGUCGGCUUCGGUCAACCCCUUAGGAUAAUUUAUCCCUUUCUCUUAUGUAUGAACUACGUGAUGACCUGAAUUCCCAACAAAAGGGAUACGUAGGCGGCCUAUGUCGGCUUCGGUCAACCCAUUAGAUUUUUAUAUAUAUCCCUAGCGUAGUCCUGAACUACAUUUGACCUGAUUCCUGCUUCAAUGGGAUGCGUAGGCGCCCCAACGGCUCGGUCAUAUAACCCCAGGAAAUGGAAACUGGGGAAGAAUCUUUGAGAAGGAAUCUCAAAAAUUCACAAGAGAAGAUCGACAUCCAACAAAGAGAAUGAAGAUCAGGAAAGACUUCAGAUUUACUCGGUUUGGUAUCAUCUCAAACAACUUUAAACUCGGUCAGAAAUUUUAAGGAAGACCUCAAAAUUUCCACCAAAUGCUGGAACAUAUUCCAAAUUCCCCAGUACCAGUGGUUAAAGUCAAGCUUUGGAAGCCACCAACUGUAACAAAGUCUGGGUAGACUCAAUUUUUGUCUAUGAUAGAACUACUUGAAGAAACCCUCCAACAAUGAUCAUGAGUUUUGGAAACCAUCCGUCGAAUAUAGUCAAAACCAUGCGGAAGACGUUUGUUGAGCUAGUACUUGCCUAGACAUCAUUUGGGAUGGAGUGUCAGCAUGGAAGUCCUGAUAUGGUGGAAUGCCCAAGAGGUGGCAAAGAGUAAAUCAAGGAUCGAAGAAGGUCAACACGGAGUAGUUUCACUCAAACUAAUCAUUUUCUGUGGGUGCAGGGACCAAUACACAAAAAUGAGAGUCUCUUUCAAAAAUCCCCGAGUAAAUUGGGAGCCACACCAGAGCACUAAUCUGAAGAACGGUGUUUUUGGGUAGCCCUAAAAAUGGGUUUAGUACCCAUAUAUUGAAGGCCUUUUGAAGUGUCCAUCCCAUUUCUUGAGAUCAUGGAGGACAAAAAUAGUGUCUUGUUUUCUUUACAAAUAUUGUAUUUAGAAUUUUUCUAAAAUACAGUCACUAGCAAAAGCGACUUUGUGUCUACUAAUCAUCUACCUUGAGUACGGUACAUGUAGAAAAUAGGCCACUGACGAAUAAAGCCAGGUAAAAUUAUUUUAUCAUUGCCGUAAAGGCCAUUAUAAAUUAUUGUCGCAAAAGCCAUUGCAUAUCAUUGCCGCAAAGGCCACUACAUAUCAUUGCCAGAAAGGCCACUACAUAUCAUUUCCGCAAAGGCCAUUACAUAUCAUCACCGCAAAGGCCAUUGCAUAUCAUUGCCGCAAAGGCCACUACAUACCGUUGCCGCAAAGGCCAUUGCAUAUCAUCGCCGCAAAGGCCAUUGCAUAUAAUUGCCACAAAGGCCAUUGCAUAUCAUUGUUGCAAAGGCCACGACAUAUCAUUGCUGCAAAGGCCAUUACAUAUCGUCGCCACAAAGGCCAUUGCAUAUCAUUGCCGCAAAGGACACUACAUAUCAUUGCCGCAAAGGUCACUACAUACCAUUGACGCAAAGGCCGCUACAUAUCAUUGCCGCAAAGGCCACUACAUAUUAUUGCCACAAAGGCCAUUACAUAUCAUUGCCACAAAGGCUAUUACAUAUCUUUUGAUGCACUAGACACAGCGCUGGCGUUAAGGAUAUCAUCAUCAUUCAAUAUCCGUUGAUGUGCUAGACACAACACUGACGUCGAGGAUAUCAUCAACAUUUAAUAUAUCUGUUGACACGCUAGAUACACACUGGCAUCGAGGAUAUCUCAUCAUUUUAUGAAUCAGCAUUUGAAUGCAUCAAGAGCACACAAUUUGAAGGGACGCAUUUAAGUCGUUAUCUAAGGAUAAAUGAUAUAUAAGGUUUCCUAGAAAUUGACAAUUUGAGGAUCAUAUAUAAGUCAUAUUAUUUGAAACCGGAUAAUGUGCAAGAUCACCUAUGAGUUGAUAGCUUGUAGUUAAUCCGUAAGCCACAACAACAUCCUAACCGGUUAGUGUGCAAGAUUGCCCAAAAGUCGAUAGUCCGAAGGUUAUCCAUAAGUCGCAACUACAUCCUUACCGGAGAAUAUGUAAGAUUAUCAAAUUGAUAUGUCCGAGGGUUCUCUAUAAGCCGCAUCAUAUACAAGAUCGAUUAUGUGCAGGAUUACCCAAAGACUAACAAUUUGAGGGAUUAUCUAUAAGUCAUGUUGUAUCCAAGAUCGGAUGAUGUGUAGGAACACCUGAAAGCUAGAGAUUGGAAGGAUAUCUGUAAGCCAUAUUUUAUACAAAGUUGGACAACGUGCAGGAUUACCUAAAAGCGAACAAUUCAAAGGGUACCUGUAAGUCGCCUCGUAUCCAACAUCAGAUAAUGCGCAAGAUUAUCCAAAGAUUGACAAUUUAAAGGAAAUUUAUAAAUCAGUCAUCAGCUAUAAAUGGAGAGGUUAUCAUUCUACAUACAACAAGUGAUAUAGGUAACCAAAAGGGUUUCCACACCACCAUAAGAUUACACGAUUGUAGGGACCGUUCUGCAAAAAGUAUCACCGGUGUCCAAAAGGGCCACCCCACUUUGAAGGCAUAUUCAACCGACAAAUAUCAUAAUUAUACAGCAACCAAGAGGGUUGUUGUGUUUGUUAUUGCCAGUUAUUUCAUUCCAAAUAGGUACAUGAAGAGAUGAAUCCGCUUUUCAGGCCACAACUAACGUAGAGAUAUGGUAAAAAACUACAUAACCCUUUCGUGAAUUAUGUUUAGCACUAACACUUUUUGCUUGAAUCAUUGCCGAGAGCAUCCGAAAGGAUGAAAAUCUCAAAUCAAAACCACAAGUGCGGACGACUUCAAAUAGGAUGCAGCACAGCGUGGAACUCUUUCUUAGUAGCAAAAUGGGACAUAGUCUAAAGAGGGACGUCAAACUCUUUGGACGCGAGCUAAAGGAUGAUCACCACCACCAUCCAAACACACCCCUGUUAGAAGGCAUGUGUGUAUUUUAGGAUAUUCUGGUUUCAGCUUCACCUUCGGGAUAUUUCUAAACUCAUGUCGAGGUUAACCUCCUCUUUCUUUCAAAUUCGGGUGGCAACACACUUAGAGUUUUAGAAAUUAUGUCUGGGUAAGUUCUUACCUAUGGAUAUGACGGGCUCCACGUUCAUGGUUAAGAGGUUACAAGUCUUUUUUCUGCAGCUUGAUCGACUUGUCACCCAUCUUGAGCAAAAGAUUGUCUAAAAUAAAAGACUAUCUUUUUCUACCGAUUGAGUCGAACUACAAGAAGUCUAAUUCCUUGAGUCUCAGGGAUAUGUAGGCUAGGCUCUAUGUAGAAAACUCGACUACAUUCCAACCUCCCCCCUAAUCCCUUUAUUCCCCAAUUUCUCGGUUCUAUCAAAAACUCUAAAACCGAGAUAGUUGGUGAAUUUUCUUGAAAAUCAUGCUUAAAAUCAAGUUUUAUGAACUACAAGUGGCCUGAAUUCUCAUGAAACGUAAGAUAUAUAGAAACCUGAUACCGAGGUUCGGCCAUAACUCCAUAAACUCGUGCAAAAGCCAACCUCUUUCAGAUGUGAAUUUGCGGUCGAACAAAAAUUAAGACCGUCAACCUCCCUUUGCCCAAGGUUACUUGCAUCAACCCUACCCAAAGGGAGGGGGCAGUUGUUAACACCUAAUUUUUGCCCUCCGCGACUAAUCUUAAUCCUGAGUUUCUUCAAUUUUUAAUAAAAUCGAGAUAUUUAUUUCCUCCGAAUAAGAGUUUUGAAAAGUAUAUUUGUACGUGAUUUUGUCACUUUAAGUAGCAAUUAUAUAUUAUCAUGUUCAAUUAUGCGAUAUUAUACAAUUGGAUUACUUAAAUGUUUAUUCUAUGGAAUAUCGGAUUUUAAUUAAAGAUUAUUUUGAAAAUAAAUACACUAAUUAAAAUCUUGAUUUGAAAAUGAUCUACUUCAAAAAUGGCUUGUUAGGAGGAAUGUUACUUAAUUUUAUCAAAUCAAAGAAGCUCGGGAUUAAACUAGUUGCUAAAUUCGUUUUCAAUCUUGACUCAAUUUGGUCAAUGUAUUAAAUUAGAUUUAAUUGAAGUUGAUUUGGCUACAAUUGCAAUACAAUUGGCCGAUUAAUUUUCAAUUAGGUCAAAAUUUAAAUACAAUUGACUAAAGUCUUUAUCAAUAGGCUAUUUAUUAAAUAGUUUAAACCUACUCCUAAUUGAGGCUAUGUCUUAAAUAAUUCCACCAUCCCGAUACAAUAACCCAACAGCCUCACAAGACCAGCCCAAGCCCAAUUUCCUUUUGACUUUGCCAAAUUAGCCCCAAAUUCUCAUCAACACCACCCCAGGCCCGAUAUUUUUCAACACCAGCCCAACAACAAAGCAAUUUCAGCCCAUCAUAAAUCUUUCAUAACCCGGCUCAAUCCCCUUAUCUCCUCUCUCACAAACUUGACCUAAUCUUAUCCCACAACAAAAUAAUGAUGCCAACUCCAAAAAUCCAAAUGGGACCGACUCCAUCAGCUUCAAUAACUUGACCCGUCUUUGGCCCCCACUCCAGCUCAACCCGUACCACGAUAACCUAAUUCCAAAUUGCGACAGCGACCAACCUGUCUUUUUCACUUCGCGGAUCCGCAUGAGAAUGCUCGAGAAUCUUCUAGAAAGAAGGUUAGGUGUCACUUCUAGUGGAUCAAUUCCAUAAAUCUCGGUAGCAUUGGUACGAUUUUGUACCUAUUUGGUGGAUUUCCAUUGGUUGUGGGAGGGAAUUGGAUUUCCCUGAAUUCUAUUGGUCCACCAAUUCCGAAAUUGGUACGAGUCGCGGAUGAAAAACUGAGGCGAGGGAGAAUUGUUGAUUAUCUUUUUAUUGUUGUCCUUAUCUUUCUGUUUGUUUGAUUAUUUAUCCAUUCAUUCGGGCCAAGAAGCCAAAGUUGUAUUUAAUACAGGUGGAGCAAGACUCGAUUCAAAGACUCAAAAAUAGUUUAGGACAAGUGAAAUGGGUCAAAAGCCCAACUUGACUAAGCCAGGUCUCGUUGAUUUAGGCCCAAUGGCCUAAAUCCUUUACUUCCCCUCUUCCCAUUUUAUGUGUUUAUUUGUUUAUUAGUUUUGUUUAGACUUAGUUAAAAUCCCUACUAAGUUGCCUAAACCUAUUUUACACAAGUCCUUUUUUUUAAAAUCAAAUCACUACUUCAACAAAUUAAUAUUUUCAGAAGUUAAUCAAAGAUGUUUUCAAACAGUCCGGAUAACCGCAAGUUAUCGGACAUUUUAGGUGCUUAACACCUUCCUAAAAUGUUAAUAAGAAUCGCUUACUCAGAAUCUCUUAACUUAAACGAUUUUCAUAUUUUGAAUCGUUUGAAGUAACUCUCUAAAGGUUUCUUAAUUCCUUUUUUCAAAAUUAUGUGGCGACUCUCUCAAAAACUCAAAUUUUUUGUCAAAACAGUGCCAAUGCCAAGUACUUUAACUUCAUCAUUAUUGCCCAUUUUCAACAUCCCAAAAUUAUCUGGAGUAUAAGAAGAAAAUAAUUCUUUCUUUGGCGUAACAUGAGAUGUAGCACCAAAAUCCACAAACCAGCUAGACUCAUUGUGAACAAGAUUAAUGGCAUUCUCACCACAAGAAACAAGAAGAUCAUCAUUAGCAACAACAACAACACGAUUUUCAUUAUUGCCUUCUUUCUUUUGCCGUCUUAUAUCUCUCUUAUGCUUGUAACAAUAUUUUAUGAUAUGCCCCUUUUUGUUGCAAUAGUCACAUGUAACAUUCUUGAAUUUAGACCUUGACUUGCUUCUACUUUUAUCUCUAUCAUUUGAAUCUCUGGACUUGUUUCUCCCCCUCUCUUCAGUAACCAAAACAUCAGAGUAUGAAGAUGAAGAAGAUGAGGCCUGAGAUAUUCUUCUCAUAUCUUUAUUCAAGACACCACUCUCAACAUAUUCCAUAGUUACAAUACCACCGGGAGUAGUAUUAGUCAAAGAAACUCAAAGAGUUUCCCAAGAGUCAGGCAGAGUAUUAAGAAGCCAAAGUCCCUAAUUUCUUCAUCGAACUUUACACCCAUUCCGGACAGCUGGUUAAGGACACCCUGAAAAUCGUUAAUAUGAUUAGAAAUAGGACUGCCCUCUUUAUACCUGAUAUUCAUCAUCAAUUUCUUAAACAGGAACAACUUGUUAUUGCCAGUCUUCGAAGCAUAAAGUGUCUCGAGCUUGUCCCACAAACUUCUAGAAUGUGUCUCAUUCAAAAUAUGAUUUCUAAUAUUAUCUUCAACCCAUUGUUUGAUAUAGCCACAAACCUGUAAGUGCUCAAAUUCCCAAUUCUCAUUUGUCAUGGAUUCAGGUUUAGUAUACGCAAACACAGGUAGAUGCAUUUUCUUGACAAAUAGAAGAUCUUUCAUUUUGCCUUUCCAAGUAUGAUAGUUACUACCAUUCAAACCCACCAUCUUGCUCAUAUUUGCCUCCAUCAUUCAAAUCGACAAUCAACAAUAAUCAACGCUUUGAUACCACUUGUUAGGAAAGACGAACACACAAUCAAAGAGCCCGACAGGGUAGCAGCGAAAAAUACCCAAGACUAAACUUUUCCUUUCAACUUGAAUCAAAAGGAGAUAAGUAAACCAAGAAAAAUAAAUUAAUAUGGCAGAAAAUGAAUUACCACACAAAUGUGAUAGGGCAAGAAUAAAGGCAAUCACACAAGACACCAAAUUUACGUGGAAAACCCUUCGGUGUGAAGAGUAAAAAACCACGGGACCAAAACCUCCACUAUAAUCACCAAAGAGUUAAAAUAUUUUCCUCCAAAAUGGCCACAAAACAAGUUCCAAACAAUAAGAAACAAUACAUAAUCCACAACACCAAACACUAGAGAAAUAAAGGGGUGAAAGUGCCAAAAAUGCAGCUAUUGUUCGGGAAUGAAGAACAGGAUUUACGGGCCACCAAAACAAGAUCCGUCAGUUCCUAAUCAAAUAUUGAGAUGAGAGGAACAAGUAUUCUAAAAAUAAGCUCAAUCGGACAAGAAGCGAAGCGGGAAUCGUAAUUUGAAGUUGACAGCUGUGACUAAAAUUUAGGUACGAAAAUCAGUUUUGUUUUUCUCUCUUUGGCUGCUGAAAACUCUCUUUUUGUGAUGGUGAAUAAGACCUAAAAAAAUUAAUAAAUAUUAUCCAUAUUAAUGGUCCUAUGGGCAAAAGUGGGUUGGUCCAAAUUGGGCUUCAUUUUAUCCACAUAGGAAGGGACAAAGGCCCAUGACCCAACAAUAAUUGUCAUGGAACUUAUCAUAUCCAAAACUGUAUACAGAAUGGCUAAUUAACAUCAUCGUAUUAGUUCUAGAAUCGGGUAAUUUCCUAUACUUCCUAAUGGAUUGAUUCCAUCGAUAUAAAUCAUCUAACUCAUCGACGAGACAAAUCAAUCCAUUGACAGAACCCAUAGAAUAAGAAGAACUUUUGAGUUUUUUUAUGGGAUAAUUCGAGUCAGAUGCCUCCGCCUUAUCAGGCUCAUAAAGUAAAGACCUAAGAGACCAAUCCUUAAAACUGUACUCAUUACAAUAAUAAAAUUUGAGCCUAUGGUGAGUAUUGUACUUGUUAUUAGCUGAUAACUUGAGCUGAGACUUGAUAAACUCAGGGCUAGAGAUCAAAUCAAGCCAAGAUUUUGAAACACAUGUAAAUUUUAAGAGAGAUUUCACUGGAAGCCUAGAGAGGAUUUCAAUGAUAAGCUCCAAUGGAAGUGUUGGGAUUUUCAAGAUUGAAUGUUCCAUUCGAAACUAAGAGAAUACGGUUUAUGUGUUGCAAAAAAAAAUAUUUGAGUUUCACUGCGACUGUGGUACUCUAAAAGUCACAGAACUCUUUUAUAUUUUAAUAUUUUCUAUUUAUUUAUUUAGUUCAUUUUUUCUCUAAUAAAUAAAAAAAAUAAAUGGUCCUGUGUAUAUUAUAUAUUAUUAAGUACAAAACUUUGUUUGAAGGAUGCAAUGCUGUACCAGAAGAUCUCCCAAAGUCCAGCGGGGUGAAGCAGAUUGCGCCAGGGGAGGCCUUGCAAAAUUGGACCUCCGCUUCACUUAUAACCCAUUUCCCAUUGUGGUAGAUGAAAGGGCAAUUACAGUUUUUAAGAUCAGUGAUGAUUCGGAGGAGGCCCCGCGAUCCACCUUUUAUAUCUUAAAACUUUCUUUUCGUAUCUUACUGCUUUCAAAAAGGCAUGGACCUAUAUUUGCGCAAGUUAUGAGCCACGAUUUUGUAAUUAUCUCCCAAAUUUCAAUGAAAAGGCCUUCAUUUAUUUAGAAAAUUCUAUUAAUUCUAAAACACUCCUAGUCAUAUAUUUUGUUAUUAUCUUGUUAUCAUCUAACUUUGUUUGUUUGUCCAUUACAGUAACAGUAGCUUAAAAUCUGCCAAUGUCGUGUCAUGUAAAAUCUUAAACAAACAAAAUGAGGGGAACAAUGACGAUUGGAAGGACGAUGACGAGGAACGAUAAGUCAAAGAUAUGGAGGAAUUUGAGAAUCGCGAAAAACCCAAUCUGUAGGAAACUGAAACAGUCAACUUGGGAGAUCACAAUGAAAUCAAAGAGACAAGUGUCAGUAUCCACCUGGAGGCAUCACAAAGGAAAGAGCUCAUCCACCUGUUGCGGGAAUACAUCGACAUGUUUGCUUGGUCCUAUGAUGAUAUGCCAGGGUUGAGCACUAGCAUUGUGUCACAUAAGUUGCCAAUAAAUCCAGAGUUUGAUCUAGUCAAGCAAAAAGUGCGGAAAUUCAAGCCAGAUUUAAGACUAAAUAUCAAGGAAGAAGUGAGAAAACAAAUCCAGUCUAAUGUUAUCGAGGUCACAAAAUAUCCAACGUGGUUGGCCAACAUCGUCCCUGUGCCGAAGAAGGACGACAAGAUUCGAAUUUGUGUUGACAAUAGAGACUUGAAUAGAGCCAGUCCUAAAGAUAAUUUUCCGUUGCCCAACAUCCACAUUCUCAUCAAUAACUGUGCAAAAUAUGAAAUGCAGUCAUUCGUUGAUUGUUUUGCCGGGUAUCAUCAGAUAUUGAUGGAUGAGGAAGAUGCAGAAAAAAUGGUUUUUAUUACACCCUGGGGUGUUUAUCAUAACAGGGUAAUGAUAUUUGGUCUAAAAAAUGUGGGUGCAACAUAUAUGAGGGCUAUGACAACGAUUUUCCAUGAUAUGAUCCAUAAAGAGAUUGAGGUGUAUGUGGAUGACGUAAUUAUCAAAUCCCAUGAGAGUUCGGAUCAUCUGACUCAUCUGGAGAAAUUUUUCAAUAGAUUAAGAAGGUACAGUUUGAAAUUAAACCCUGCUAAGUGUGCUUUUGGUGUGCCAUCAGGGAAGUUGCUGGGGUUCAUAGUCAGUAGAAGAGGCAUCGAGUUAGACCCAUCCAAAAUCAAGACAAUUCAGAAUUUGCCACUGCCGAAAACUAAGAAGGAAGUUAUGAGUUUCAUGGGUCAUUUGAAUUAUAUUAGCAGGUCCAUCGCGCAGUCAACAGUCAUAUGCGAGCCAAUUCUCAAGAUGUUGAAGAAAAAUGCAUUGAACNNNNNNNNNNNNNNNNNNNNNNNNNNNNNNNNNNNNNNNNNNNNNNNNNNNNNNNNNNNNNNNNNNNNNNNNCAUUUACUACUUGAGUAAAAAGUUCACGCCAUAUGAAGCCCAUUACACUCUUGUAGAAAGGACAUGUUAUGCUUUGACUUGGAUGACACAAAAGUUGAGGAUUGUGUUUUUAACCGCAUCAAGGACUCUCGUAGUCAUUAUCUGAUUGUGUUUGUCCAUUGUUAUUGCUGGAUUGCAGUGCCAUUGUUGAGUUAGUAGCCCUCUCAAGAUCCUUUGGCUUCUCAUAUGCCAAAAGGACAAUGAGCAAGGACCGAAAUAUACGGAAGAUCCUGUGAUUCCUCGAUGAUCGUCUCGACCACUAAAAGCUUAUCCUUUUUAGUCUGUCGAAGAGAGAGUGAGGAUGAGGAUAAUAUGCCCUGCCACACUCCCCUUUAGUUUAUGAGUUAUGCCUCUCUUUUAGUCUCGAAAACCCGAAUUUGGGAUUUCUAUUUCUCCUUUAAGUUCAUUUUCAGUAUAAAAAUAUAUUAGGAGGAUAAAUGUAGUUGUGUGGAUGCUUGAACGUUGGAGUAUGUUUGUAAAAAUUAAUCUUAUUUUUUUAGCACUGCAUUGUGUACGGGCUAAGGAUUCCCAAGGAUCUUUCUUGGUCAAUAAUACUAAGAAAGUAGGGAUGAAGUCGUAACCGUUUCCUUCCCAAAGGAUGAAGUUAUACCCAUUUCAUUCUCAAAAUAGGAUUAGGGAUGGAACACGCGAUGACGCAUCGUGAUCAAUUAUUUCCAUCCUCAAAUACCUACUGACAAAGAUUAAUAUUACAGAUUAUUUUCCAGAUUUAAAUAUCGUGUGUCUCAUGGUCUAGCAUGAUUGAUGUGUUAUAAUUGUCAGGGGUGUUGUCCUGUACUGUUGAAACUGGUAGCCUUAUAAUUAUUGCUACGACUCAUAAGUUGAACUUUAGACAACUCACUUGUCCUAGGUGCUACUAUUGUUUGCUUUAGGCUUCAGCUUCUUAAUAUUUGCUUCCUAAUAAAAUCGGAGAACAUAUAAGCUCUAUAUCUUGAGAUCCCAGCGAGUCGUCAUAAUCUUGUCAACAUUUUGAUUUUACUGUUAGCUUGGUAGAGUCUUGAAUAAGUUUUCCUUUAUUUUAUUACCCAUGCUGUUUGGAUUGAUUGACCAUGAACAGUAGUAUUCUGAUCGUGGAUAACCUUCA